This 254-nucleotide ribosomal RNA is filed under the name uncultured prokaryote. RNAcentral describes it as "partial 16S ribosomal RNA". It matches the Rfam family "Bacterial small subunit ribosomal RNA", at positions 525 to 777 of the family's 1533-position model. The record is from RNAcentral.
ACGUAGGGUCCAAGCGUUAUCCGGAAUUACUGGGCGUAAAGAGUUGCGUAGGUGGCAUGGUAAGCGAGUAGUGAAAUGACGAGGCUCAACCUUGUGUCCAUUAUUUGAACUGCCAAGCUAGAGAAUGAGAGAGGUCACUGGAAUUCCCUGUGUAGGAGUGAAAUCCGUAGAUAUAGGGAGGAACACCGAUGGCGUAGGCAGGUGACUGGCUCAUUUCUGACACUAAGGCACGAAAGCGUGGGUAGCAAACGGGA